This 353-nucleotide long non-coding RNA is filed under the name Bos taurus (domestic cattle). RNAcentral's name for it is "long non-coding RNA NONBTAT020360". Lineage: Eukaryota; Metazoa; Chordata; Mammalia; Artiodactyla; Bovidae. The record is from RNAcentral.
AUGAGAUCUUGACACAAAGACCUUUACAGUUAAUAAAAGCAGCUAAUCAAGGUCAUGGGAGCUAAGGAAUACAAGAGUGGUUCAGACCAGACUGCAGAUUAUUUCCUGUUCUGGUGCUGAAUAUGUGUGCUGCAGAACCACCUGGGCUAGAGGAGAAGCUACGCCCAGGCUCCUGCUCUGAGCUCACUUGAGAACAGAAAGAUGUCAUCAUCCUACAAGCAUCUUCUGGGCGGGACACGGGGGCAUUUCACAGAGAACAGGUAACACGUGAAGGGCAAUGUCAGGAUACUGGGACCUUAAAGCUCCUCCCUGCAUCUGAGCUCUUGAGUGAGGAGAUCACAGAUCUAUAAAUC